RNAcentral lists this ribosomal RNA (377 nucleotides) under uncultured bacterium. Its description in RNAcentral is "bacterial SSU rRNA". It matches the Rfam family "Bacterial small subunit ribosomal RNA", at positions 523 to 898 of the family's 1533-position model. The record is from RNAcentral.
AUACGGAGGGUGCAAGCGUUAAUCGGAAUUACUGGGCGUAAAGCGCACGCAGGCGGUCUGUCAAGUCUGAUGUGAAAGCCCCCGGCUCAACCGGGGAGGGUCAUUGGAAACUGGGAGACUUGAGUGCAGAAGAGGAGAGUGGAAUUCCAUGUGUAGCGGUGAAAUGCGUAGAUAUAUGGAGGAACACCAGUGGCGAAGGCGGCUCUCUGGUCUGUAACUGACGCUGAGGCUCGAAAGCGUGGGGAGCAAACAGGAUUAGAUACCCUGGUAGUCCACGCCGUAAACGAUGAGUGCUAAGUGUUGGAGGGUUUCCGCCCUUCAGUGCUGCAGCUAACGCAUUAAGCACUCCGCCUGGGGAGUACGACCGCAAGGUUGAA